Molecule: ribosomal RNA, 495 nt
Filed under: uncultured bacterium
Lineage: Bacteria
Description: partial 16S ribosomal RNA
Rfam family: Bacterial small subunit ribosomal RNA
Source: RNAcentral
GACUGACGCUGGCGGCGUGCCUAAUACAUGCAAGUAGAACGCUGAAGGAGGAGCUUGCUUCUCCGGAUGAGUUGCGAACGGGUGAGUAACGCGUAGGUAACCUGCCUGGUAGCGGGGGAUAACUACUGGAAACGAUAGCUAAUACCGCAUAACAGUAGAUAUCGCAUGAUAUCUGCUUGAAAGGUGCAAUUGCAUCACUACCAGAUGGACCUGCGUUGUAUUAGCUAGUUGGUGAGGUAACGGCUCACCAAGGCGACGAUACAUAGCCGACCUGAGAGGGGGAUCGGCCACACUGGGACUGAGACACGGCCCAGACUCCUACGGGAGGCAGCAGUAGGGAAUCUUCGGCAAUGGACGGAAGUCUGACCGAGCAACGCCGCGUGAGUGAAGAAGGUUUUCGGAUCGUAAAGCUCUGUUGUAAGAGAAGAACGAGUGUGAGAGUGGAAAGUUCACACUGUGACGGUAUCUUACCAGAAAGGGACGGCUAACUACGUG